CCCAGACUCCUACGGGAGGCAGCAGUGGGGAAUAUUGCACAAUGGGGGAAACCCUGAUGCAGCAACGCCGCGUGAGUGAAGAAGUAUUUCGGUAUGUAAAGCUCUAUCAGCAGGGAAGAAGAAGGACGGUACCUGACUAAGAAGCCCCGGCUAACUACGUGCCAGCAGCCGCGGUAAUACGUAGGGGGCAAGCGUUAUCCGGAAUUACUGGGUGUAAAGGGAGCGUAGACGGUGAAGUAAGUCUGGAGUGAAAGGCGGGGGCCCAACCCCCGGACUGCUCUGGAAACUAUUUGACUGGAGUGCAGGAGAGGUAAGCGGAAUUCCUAGUGUAGCGGUGAAAUGCGUAGAUAUUAGGAGGAACACCAGUGGCGAAGGCGGCUUACUGGACUGUAACUGACGUUGAGGCUCGAAAGCGUGGGGAGCAAACAGGAUUAGAUACCCUCGUACGU
This 449-nucleotide ribosomal RNA is filed under the name uncultured bacterium. Its description in RNAcentral is "bacterial SSU rRNA". It matches the Rfam family "Bacterial small subunit ribosomal RNA", at positions 330 to 794 of the family's 1533-position model. The record is from RNAcentral.